AGUGAACGCUGGCGGUAGGCCUAACACAUGCAAGUCGAACGGCAGCACAGUAAGAGCUUGCUCUUACGGGUGGCGAGUGGCGGACGGGUGAGGAAUACAUCGGAAUCUACUUUUUCGUGGGGGAUAACGUAGGGAAACUUACGCUAAUACCGCAUACGACCUACGGGUGAAAGCAGGGGAUCUUCGGACCUUGCGCGAUUGAAUGAGCCGAUGUCGGAUUAGCUAGUUGGCGGGGUAAAGGCCCACCAAGGCGACGAUCCGUAGCUGGUCUGAGAGGAUGAGCAGCGACACUGGAACUGAGACACGGUCCAGACUCCUACGGGAGGCAGCAGUGGGGAAUAUUGGACAAAGGGCGCAAGCCUGAUCCAGCCAUACCGCGUGGGUGAAGAAGGCCUUCGGGUUGUAAAGCCCUUUUGUUGGGAAAGAAAAGCAGCAGGUUAAUACCCCGCUGUUCUGACGGUACCCAAAGAAUAAGCACCGGCUAACUUCGUG
RNAcentral lists this ribosomal RNA (492 nucleotides) under uncultured bacterium. RNAcentral's name for it is "partial 16S ribosomal RNA". It matches the Rfam family "Bacterial small subunit ribosomal RNA", at positions 29 to 507 of the family's 1533-position model. The record is from RNAcentral.